RNAcentral lists this ribosomal RNA (270 nucleotides) under uncultured bacterium. RNAcentral's name for it is "partial 16S ribosomal RNA". It matches the Rfam family "Bacterial small subunit ribosomal RNA", at positions 29 to 296 of the family's 1533-position model. The record is from RNAcentral.
AACGAACGCUGGCGGCGUGCUUAACACAUGCAAGUCGAGUGCGCGGUUGUAGCAAUACAACUGGCGCACGGCGCACGGGUGCGUAACACGUGGGCAAUCUGCCCUCCGAUGGGGAAUAACCCCGCGAAAGCGGGGCUAAUUCCGCAUAACAUUCCCUGGACUCUGGUUCGGGGAUUCAAAGCAGCAAUGCGUCGGAGGAGGAGCCCGCGCCCGAUUAGCUAGUUGGUGAGGUAACGGCUCACCAAGGCAAUGAUCGGUAGCUGGUCUGAG